CCUACGGGGGGCAGCAGUCGGGAAUAUUGCGCAAUGGAGGAAACUCUGACGCAGUGACGCCGCGUGCAGGAAGAAGGUUUUCGGAUUGUAAACUGCUUUAGACAGGGAAGAAAAAAGACAGUACCUGUAGAAUAAGCCCCGGCUAACUACGUGCCAGCAGCCGCGGUAAUACGUAGGUGGCAAGCGUUAUCCGGAAUGAUUGGGCGUAAAGGGUGCGUAGGCGGCAAAAUAAGUCUGAAGUAAAAGGCGUUGGCUCAACCAACGUAAGCUUUGGAAACUGUUAAGCUAGCGUGCAGGAGAGGUUAGUGGAAUUCCAUGUGUAGCGGUAAAAUGCGUAGAUAUAUGGAGGAACACCAGUGGCGAAGGCGGCUAACUGGCCUGUAACGGACGCUGAGGCACGAAAGCGUGGGGAGCAAAUAGGAUUAGAUACCCUUGUAGUC
Molecule: ribosomal RNA, 440 nt
Filed under: uncultured bacterium
Lineage: Bacteria
Description: partial 16S ribosomal RNA
Rfam family: Bacterial small subunit ribosomal RNA
Source: RNAcentral